GAUGAAGAACGUAGCGAAAUGCGAUAAGUAGUGUGAAUUGCAGAAUUCAGUGAAUCAUCGAAUCUUUGAACGCACAUUGCGCCCUUUGGUAUUCCUUAGGGCAUGCCUGUUCGAGCGUCAUUUAAACCUUCAAGCUAAGCUUGGUGUUGGGUGACUGUCCGCUUCACUGCGGACUCGCCUCAAAAUUAUUGGCGGCCGGUACAUUGGCUUCGAGCGCAGCAGAAACGCGAACUCGGGCCCGUCGUAUUGGCUCCCAGAAGCUAUCUUCACAAUUUUGACCUCGGAUCAGGUAGGGAUACCCGCUGAACUUAAGCAUAUCAAUAAGCGAAGGA
RNAcentral lists this unclassified non-coding RNA (332 nucleotides) under soil metagenome. RNAcentral describes it as "partial contains 5.8S ribosomal RNA, internal transcribed spacer 2, and large subunit ribosomal RNA". The stretch from base 1 to 120 matches the Rfam family "5.8S ribosomal RNA", at positions 35 to 154 of the family's 154-position model. The record is from RNAcentral.